This 1338-nucleotide ribosomal RNA is filed under the name Staphylococcus epidermidis. RNAcentral describes it as "bacterial SSU rRNA". It matches the Rfam family "Bacterial small subunit ribosomal RNA", at positions 59 to 1354 of the family's 1533-position model. The record is from RNAcentral. Lineage: Bacteria; Bacillati; Bacillota; Bacilli; Caryophanales; Staphylococcaceae.
CGGUGCGAACAGGACGAGGGAGCUUGCUUCCUUCUUGACGUUAGCGGCGGACGGGUGAGUAACACGUGGAUAACCUACCUAUAAGACUGGGAUAACUUCGGGAAACCGGAGCUAAUACCGGAUAAUAUAUUGAACCGCAUGGUUCAAUAGUGAAAGACGGUUUUGCUGUCACUUAUAGAUGGAUCCGCGCCGCAUUAGCUAGUUGGUAAGGUAACGGCUUACCAAGCCAACGAUGCGUAGCCGACCUGAGAGGGUGAUCGGCCACACUGGAACUGAGACACGGUCCAGACUCCUACGGGAGGCAGCAGUAGGGAAUCUUCCGCAAUGGGCGAAAGCCUGACGGAGCAACGCCGCGUGAGUGAUGAAGGUCUUCGGAUCGUAAAACUCUGUUAUUAGGGAAGAACAAAUGUGUAAGUAACUAUGCACGUCUUGACGGUACCUAAUCAGAAAGCCACGGCUAACUACGUGCCAGCAGCCGCGGUAAUACGUAGGUGGCAAGCGUUAUCCGGAAUUAUUGGGCGUAAAGCGCGCGUAGGCGGUUUUUUAAGUCUGAUGUGAAAGCCCACGGCUCAACCGUGGAGGGUCAUUGGAAACUGGAAAACUUGAGUGCAGAAGAGGAAAGUGGAAUUCCAUGUGUAGCGGUGAAAUGCGCAGAGAUGUGGAGGAAACACCAGUGGCGAAGGCGACUUUCUGGGUCUGUAACUGACGCUGAUGUGCGAAAGGCGUGGGGAUCAAACAGGGAUUAGAUACCCUGGUAGUCCACGCCGUAAAACGAAUGGAGUGCUAAGUGUUAGGGGGGUUUCCGCCCCUUAGUGCUGCAGCUAACGCAUUAAAGCACUCCGCCUGGGGGGAGUACGACCGCAAGGGUUUGAAACUCAAAGGGAAUUGGACGGGGACCCGCACAGCGGUGGAACCAUGUGGUUUAAUUUCGAAGCAACGCGAGAACCUUACCAAAUCUUGACAUCCCUCUGACCCCUCUAAAAGUGAGGUUUUCCGCUUUCGGGGGGGACAGAGUGACAGGUGGUGCAUGGUUGUCGUCAGCUCGUGUCGUGAGAUGUUGGGUUAAGUCCCGCAACGAGCGCAACCCUUAAGCUUAGUUGCCAUCAUUAAGUUGGGCACUCUAAGUUGACUGCCGGUGACAAACCGGAGGAAGGUGGGGAUGACGUCAAAUCAUCAUGCCCCUUAUGAUUUGGGCUACACACGUGCUACAAUGGACAAUACAAAGGGCAGCGAAACCGCGAGGUCAAGCAAAUCCCAUAAAGUUGUUCUCAGUUCCGGAUUGUAGUCUGCAACUCGACUAUAUGAAGCUGGAAAUCGCUAGUAAUCAGUAGAUCAAGC